RNAcentral lists this ribosomal RNA (501 nucleotides) under uncultured bacterium. RNAcentral describes it as "partial 16S ribosomal RNA". It matches the Rfam family "Bacterial small subunit ribosomal RNA", at positions 29 to 523 of the family's 1533-position model. The record is from RNAcentral.
AUUGAACGCUGGCGGCAUGCCUUACACAUGCAAGUCGAACGGCAGCACGGGUGCUUGCACCUGGUGGCGAGUGGCGAACGGGUGAGUAAUACAUCGGAACGUACCUUAUCGUGGGGGAUAACGCAGCGAAAGCUGUGCUAAUACCGCAUACGCCCUGAGGGGGAAAGCGGGGGAUCGAAAGACCUCGCGCGAUUAGAGCGGCCGAUGCCUGAUUAGCUUGUUGGUGGGGUAAAAGCCCACCAAGGCGACGAUCAGUAGCUGGUCUGAGAGGACGAUCAGCCACACUGGGACUGAGACACGGCCCAGACUCCUACGGGAGGCAGCGGUGGGGAAUUGUGGACAAUGGGGGCAACCCUGAUCCAGCAAUGCCGCGGGAGUGAAGAAGGCCUUCGGGUUGUAAAGCUCUUUUGUCAGGGAAGAAACACCGGCUCUAACACAGUCCGGGAAUGACGGUACCUGAAGAAUAAGCACCGGCUAACUACGUGCCAGCCGCCGCCGUAA